RNAcentral lists this transfer RNA (800 nucleotides) under Bradyrhizobium japonicum. Its description in RNAcentral is "partial contains 16S-23S ribosomal RNA intergenic spacer and 23S ribosomal RNA". The stretch from base 151 to 224 matches the Rfam family "tRNA". The record is from RNAcentral. Lineage: Bacteria; Pseudomonadati; Pseudomonadota; Alphaproteobacteria; Hyphomicrobiales; Nitrobacteraceae.
CGUUUUAGAAACAUCAGUGGCCAACGAUCGUCAGGAUUGUUGAGCUGCAUUGGCGGGAUUUCGCCGUCUUCGUUUCUCUUUCUUCGCGGACGAACACGCGCUGGGCCUGCAUGACGCAGGGUCCCUGGUCCUUGACGGGAUAUGCGUUAGGGGCUUGUAGCUCAGUUGGUUAGAGCGCGCGCUUGAUAAGCGUGAGGUCGGAAGUUCAAGUCUUCCCAGGCCCACCACACUCAUCGGGUAAGCAUUCGUCUUCUGGUUACGGGGCCAUAGCUCAGCUGGGAGAGCGCGUGCUUUGCAAGCAUGAGGUCGUCGGUUCGAUCCCGUCUGGCUCCACCAGAUGGUUUGAUCACCGAGGCUGUGUUUGCAGCUAUUCAACCGUCGUCCGCGAAACAUCACUUCGCACCUGCUAGUCUGGAUAGACAGCAAGUUGCGUGAUUUCUGACAUCGUAAAGAGGAGAUCGAUCCGAGUUGGAUCGGGCAGCAAGCAAUUGCUGCGCGAUACUUCAUUAUCUCCGGAUCAUUUCGGCGCUCGCGCGCCUUUCAAUGCAGCUCACAAGGCUGCGUCUGAAGGGAAUGCGAGUUGUAAAUGAUCCUUUUAGCGAAGCUUGACCGCCUCGCUAUCGGAACGAUCUUACGAAGCAAGCUGGUCUUUCUAAUCAUUGUCCGGCUGUGAGAAUAGCAUUCGUCGAGGGCGCGCGCUUUAGAGAUUUCGAUCUCUUGGCAGUUCUUGCAGACAACAUUCUGCCGAGUGUGUGGACAUUGAUAAUGAGAGCAAUCAAGUGCCUUAAGGGUGUUCGGUG